UACACGCUGUGACUAGCAUAUCAAUAAGCGGAGGAAAAGAAACUAACAAGGAUUCCCUCAGUAACGGCGAGUGAAGCGGGAAGAGCUCAAAUUUGAAAUCUUGAAAGGUCACCUUUCACGAAUUGUAGUUUAAAGAAGUGCUUUCUGUUACGAUCGUAAUAUAAGUUCUUUGGAAUAGGACAUCAUAGAGGGUGAGAAUCCCGUAUAUUGACCUUGGACUUUGUCAGCUUUGUGAUACACUUUCAAAGAGUCGGGAUUGUUUGGGAAUGCAGUCCAAAAUGGGUGGUAAAUUUCAUCUAAGGCUAAAUAUUGGCGAGAGACCGAUAGCGAACAAGUACCGUGAGGGAAAGAUGAAAAGAACUUUGAAAAGAGAGUUAAACAGUACGUGAAAUUGUCAAAAGGGAAGCGUUUGACACCAGUGUUGUUUUUCUGAAAAUCAAUUAAAGAACUGUUUAUGCUAAGCUGUUUAGACUUUAUCAGCUAUCUGUUUAGUUUUAGGCUUUUCUUUAAUGCACUUUUCAGUUAACAAGUCAACAUCAAUUUCUUUUGCUGUAAAAAAGCUUGAGGAAGGUGGCUUGAGAUUCGUCUUAAGUGUUUAUAGCCUCUUGCCUAUGCGGUAGGAGAGACUGAGGUCUGCAGUGUAGGCUAUUUGGCUAGAUACUCAGGUGCUAUGUGAUACCAUUUCAUAAGCAACUUGUUGAUUAUGUUUUGUCUAUUGCAUACUCGCUUGUACUAUCAUACCUACGCUUAGGAUGUUGACGCAUGAGAUAUACGC
This 775-nucleotide ribosomal RNA is filed under the name uncultured Neocallimastigales. RNAcentral's name for it is "partial large subunit ribosomal RNA". The stretch from base 3 to 665 matches the Rfam family "Eukaryotic large subunit ribosomal RNA", at positions 24 to 664 of the family's 3401-position model. Lineage: Eukaryota; Fungi; Neocallimastigomycota; Neocallimastigomycetes; Neocallimastigales. The record is from RNAcentral.